CGCGACCCCAGGUCAGGCGGGANUACC
RNAcentral lists this ribosomal RNA (27 nucleotides) under Quercus fusiformis. RNAcentral's name for it is "partial 26S ribosomal RNA". The record is from RNAcentral. Lineage: Eukaryota; Viridiplantae; Streptophyta; Magnoliopsida; Fagales; Fagaceae.